GAAUUUGAUUUUGUGCUCUAACACAUGGAAAAAUCAAACCCUAGGACAAGCAUACCUCACUUGCUAUUUUUUCUUACCUCUCUUCUUUUUAUUUUUUCCACUCUAUUUUUCCUUGUGUUUUCCUCAAAUUUUUUUUUUAGAUUUUUUUCUCUCUUAUCACACACCAAGAUCUCUAAUUUCUCACCAAAAUCCAGCCCUUAUCCCAUA
Molecule: long non-coding RNA, 207 nt
Filed under: Elaeis guineensis (African oil palm)
Lineage: Eukaryota; Viridiplantae; Streptophyta; Magnoliopsida; Arecales; Arecaceae
Description: long non-coding RNA (EGUI_LNC071330)
Source: RNAcentral